CCUACUUAAUAAUUUAUCAAAAAACGACAACUUCAGGCUUACUCGAAUCGUCCUGAUUAAUUAAAUUACCACAGGGACUAUGAACACGGUUCUGCAUAGAUCAUCGGACACUACAUGGGGACAAGGACUACACUAGCUGACAGGAGGAGCAACAGCAGAGGACAUUGGAUCUGACAAACACACACACACACACACAUACACACACACACACUGAAGGAGAGACUGUCUGACAAUAACGCCCCCUCAAUGCAAGCAUACGCCGGCGCAACAAUUAACAGCCAGCCUCAGUACCAGAUGAGACCCUCUCCUGCACUGUCAUCCUGAGCCUCCAGGGGGCCCCGGUCCCACGGCGGGACACCCACUCACCUGGCCCACCUUCACCCUGAACCCCCCAUCCCCAG
Long non-coding RNA from Hypomesus transpacificus, 401 nucleotides. RefSeq lists it as uncharacterized. The record is from RefSeq and is a predicted model, not a curated record. Lineage: Eukaryota; Metazoa; Chordata; Actinopteri; Osmeriformes; Osmeridae. The transcript has 3 exons.